GACGGAAGGGGCAAGCGUUGUUCGGAAUCACUGGGCGUAAAGAGCGUGUAGGCGGCUUAGCAAGUCGGGGGUGAAAUCCCGGGGCUCAACACCGGAACUGCCUUCAAAACUGGUAGGCUCGAGUUCGGGAGAGGGGCGUGGAAUUCCCAGUGUAGAGGUGAAAUUCGUAGAUAUGGGGAAGAACACCGGUGGCGAAGGCGGCUCCCUGGUCCGAAACUGACGCUGAGGCGCGAAAGCGUGGGGAGCAAACAGG
RNAcentral lists this ribosomal RNA (253 nucleotides) under uncultured bacterium. RNAcentral's name for it is "partial 16S ribosomal RNA". It matches the Rfam family "Bacterial small subunit ribosomal RNA", at positions 524 to 776 of the family's 1533-position model. The record is from RNAcentral.